This 471-nucleotide ribosomal RNA is filed under the name uncultured bacterium. RNAcentral's name for it is "bacterial SSU rRNA". It matches the Rfam family "Bacterial small subunit ribosomal RNA", at positions 8 to 525 of the family's 1533-position model. The record is from RNAcentral.
AGAGUUUGAUCAUGGCUCAGAACGAACGCUGGCGGCAGGCCUAACACAUGCAAGUCGAACGCCGUAGCAAUACGGAGUGGCAGACGGGUGAGUAACGCGUGGGAACCUUCCCAAUGGUACGGAAUAGCCCAGGGAAACUUGGAGUAAUACCGUAUACGCCCGUAAGGGGAAAGAUUUAUCGCCAUUGGAUGGGCCCGCGUCGGAUUAGCUAGUUGGUGAGGUAACGGCUCACCAAGGCGACGAUCCGUAGCUGGUCUGAGAGGACGAUCAGCCACACUGGGACUGAGACACGGCCCAGACUCCUACGGGAGGCAGCAGUGGGGAAUAUUGGACAAUGGGCGCAAGCCUGAUCCAGCCAUGCCGCGUGAGUGAUGAAGGCCUUAGGGUUGUAAAGCUCUUUUGGCGGGGACGAUAAUGACGGUACCCGCAGAAUAAGCCCCGGCUAACUUCGUGCUAGCCGCCGCGGUAAUC